AGAAACCAAAGACCAAAACUCUUUCCAGGGGCAUUCCCACUGGGACUUCACCUCAGCAGUCGGGAGGGAAACUGGAAAAGAACCUGAACCCCGCCUAUCCACAAAGAGAACCAAUCACUGGGCCCGAUUCCAUCUAUUUAUUGGAUUUAAGCGAAAUUCCUCCCACUGCUUCGGUGUGAACUUCAGAUGAGGUAGCUGCUCAUUCUCAUAUGCAUUGAGUAAAAACUAAAAUGUGGAAAAUAUCAAAGCUGCAUCCACAGCCAACAACAGCACUCAAAAACCUAAAGGAGCUCCAGGGUCAAGAUUGAAUACAGUUAAGUCUCACCACUCUCUGGUGCACAUCUUACAUCUUAGAAUGUGCAGGGAGUCUUAUAGUCAGAGAAUCCUUACCAAUGGGCUUCUGUGACCUCAAAGAAAAUAAACACCCAACAUCAUCUUCCUGGGGAUUCUAGCUCAAUCAACUGAUGCUUUCCUGCCUUGUGAAAUUAACUCAGAUUGAGUGGAUGUGAACCUAGGGUCUGCCUCCGAGCCUCUGUAAGUCUGAGCAAGCAAAUUCAUACAUUUGAGUCUUAACUUUC
Mastomys coucha (southern multimammate mouse) is the source of this 578-nucleotide long non-coding RNA. RefSeq lists it as uncharacterized. Lineage: Eukaryota; Metazoa; Chordata; Mammalia; Rodentia; Muridae. The record is from RefSeq and is a predicted model, not a curated record. The transcript has 3 exons.